Molecule: long non-coding RNA, 1170 nt
Filed under: Sinocyclocheilus grahami
Lineage: Eukaryota; Metazoa; Chordata; Actinopteri; Cypriniformes; Cyprinidae
Description: lncRNA (ENSSGRG00000035559.1)
Source: RNAcentral
UGUGUUUCUAAGGCUGCAUAGUUUUUGCUCUGUGGUCACAUACUGUGUGACUACUGGAGUUAAUGUCAAUAAACUAUUCUUCGGGACAGGCACAAAAUUGAUCAUCGGAACAAAAAAACAAGAACCGCCUGCCUAUUACAAAUUUAAUGAGUCAUGCUUGGCAACCGACUUCACAAAAUAUGAUGAUGUAAAAUUCCAAGACGUUACACCAGUGCGAUAUGCAGAACGAAGUUACUACAGCAGCUUCACCUUUAAUGCUUCAGAAUACUGCCCGCAGAAAGGUAGGAAUUAUCCAACGUAUCACUUGCCAUUAAAAAAAAAAAAACAUUUCCUGAUUAAUUCCUCAAAUAUUUGGUUGCAUUAUAUUAAUCAUCUUUAUUCCACUUUUAGACUGUAAUCAAGGAUCAUCCAGUCAAAAUGCUGAUUUUGAAACGGGUAAGUGUGCUUUUAUUUGCACAUUUAUAGUGUGCUGUGCAUUUCAUUUAAUUUGCAGUCCAUUACUACUAGUCUGUUACUGCCUGUUGUUUGAACCGAAACAUCCAGCACUGUCAAACAUUAACUACACUCACAUAGAUUUCAAAUUGUGAAACUACUAGCUUCGGGGAAAAAAAACAUUACACACCAAAAAAAAAAACAUGAAAAUGCUGGAUUAUACCACAAAUUCCAUGGUAAAACCAAUAGACAUACUAAUUGCAUUUUUAUUCUGCAGAUGAAAAAACCAACUACAUGUCACUGGGCCUCUAUUGGCUGAGAAUUCUCUUUCUGAAGACUGUUGUGUUCAAUGUCCUGAUGACUUUCAAAGCAUGGAUGAGCUAACGUGAGUGAAAUGUUAUAUCUUGUGACAGUGGGUCUCAUUCACUAACUGCGUGUUAACACAUUUGUGUGUAAAAACAUUUUCAUACAGAAAUCAUUUAUUAAUAAGUUGCAGGAUAACAUUUAGAACCAACUGAAACCACACAUACAAAAACAACAGACUCCUAGCAGACUGUUUUACAGUCAUUUAACAAAAAAGGUUUGCAAAGUUGCAUAGUUUCUAAAAAUGGUCAAUCACAUGUAGUCUAGGUCUAUUUAAAAGGUAUUUGAUGAGAAUCAACCUGGUUGUGAAUGGCACACUUGGCUUUACUUGAAGAUUUUGCCGCAAAUGCUCUCAGAAUUUUUUUCUACAAACAU